GGACCCCGCGGCGCGGCUCCAGGGCCGGCUCCAGGUGCGGCUCCAGCUCCACGGCGGGCUCCCGGCGGGGCCGGGCCAGCGGGGACGCCGGGUCGAGGGCCAGGAGGGGCUGCGCGCGGACGCGGAGAGCCUGCGGGAAGGGCGCUGCGCCGAGAUGCUCCGGCCCAGAUGUGGUCAAGCGAAGAGGGAGGCCGGACACCCGGGGGCUGCCGCCGCCGCCGCCGCUGCUGCUACGAGGAGGGGGCUGGGCGCAGAACUGCGGCUCCGGCGGGGGGGCCACUCCCGGGGCUGUCACCGACACUGUGGAGGCGCCGCCGCGGCCGCACGGGAAGGGGUUUCGCUUGGCCCCGCCCCCUCCCGCAACAAGCCCCGCCCUCUGCAGAACCAGGCCCCGCCUCUCCUUCGCCGGCACCGCCCCGGUCUCGGCCUCCCGCUGCGGUUCUCCGGGGGGCUCUGCACUCUGCCAGCUCUUUCCAGGCCCUAAGCCGUCGCCCUUUCCCGCCCCCGCAGCCAGAAGCCACGCCUAUAGUUUAAAUAAUGCCUUGAAGCCACGCCUAUCUGGCGACCCGCAAUACAUAGCCACGCCCAUUCCCCCUCCCUUCCCGCGGCGGUCCGCAGAGUCGGCCCCGCCCUCCCUCCGGCCAGGCCCCGCCCCCUGCUCGCUCUCCAGGCCAGCCGCCUGCUUCCAGUUUCUCUGCCCGGGGACACAGACCGCAAGGCUGCGUCUUGGACUCUGCCAGCCUUGGCAUCCCGCAGGGGCGGCUCGCUCGGCUCUCUUAAAGGGACCGACUACCUAAAAUCACCAGAUGAUCUACUUAAUUCUCCCCAGGGUCGCUGGCUCCCUUGGAAAGCUCUCACUUCCUCUCAGCAAAAGGGGAAAAAAAAAUUCUUGUAGCUGCAGAGGCUUCUACCCAGGAAGUCUCAGCACGUGAUUUCAUUCAUUCACUCAGCAGAUAUUUAUUAAGCGCCUACUGGGUGUAGGGCCCUGCGGCAAGCUCAGGCCUGCCCGGCUUCUGCAAUGCUUCUCUAGCCCGACUGCCUAACGUGAAGGAAGAUUCUGCAGAGGCUUGGCCAUUGCUUCCCCCACCUCACACCCAGCUGCUCUUCUGGGCCGCGCCCAAGCAGAAUUAGGGCAUCUGCACUGUCCCCCCCACCCCCACCCCUUGCACGUGCACACGCAUGCACACG
This 1188-nucleotide long non-coding RNA is filed under the name Phascolarctos cinereus (koala). RNAcentral's name for it is "lncRNA (ENSPCIG00000034171.1)". Lineage: Eukaryota; Metazoa; Chordata; Mammalia; Diprotodontia; Phascolarctidae. The record is from RNAcentral.